Molecule: ribosomal RNA, 198 nt
Filed under: uncultured bacterium
Lineage: Bacteria
Description: partial 16S ribosomal RNA
Rfam family: Bacterial small subunit ribosomal RNA
Source: RNAcentral
ACGCUCGACACCUACGGGAGCCAGCAGUGGGGAAUAUUGCACAAUGGGGGAAACCCUGAUGCAGCGACGCCGCGUGAGCGAAGAAGUAUUUCGGUAUGUAAAGCUCUAUCAGCAGGGAAGAAAAUGACGGUACCUGACUAAGAAGCACCGGCUAAAUACGUGCCAGCAGCCGCGGUAAUCUGAGCGGGCUGGCAAGGC